AGGGGGAAGAGGGCAGCAAAUCUCUCUUCCAGGGAUUUGAAAAGUUCAAAAAAAAACCCCCGCAAGGUAUAUGUAUAUACCUAGGCUAAUCAGCCACGUCCAAAGUAGCCCUGAUUGUUCCAAAACCUGGUCAAAAUCGAGUCAAACCCUUGUUCUUCCUGCCUAAACUGCUGCUGCCUGCUAGCGAACGCGCGUCGGCCGCAGUUCGCCGGUGGCCGCGCCGAAGUCAAGCCGUCGCCCGUGCCGUGGCCUCCCCACACGCCGUCUCCUCACCUCGCCGUGCGACUGCCCAUGCCGCGCCCACGCUUCGCCCAUGCCGACGACUGGCGUCAGUCCGCUGGCCGCCGCGGUUCGCGUCGUCCUCGGCCGUCCUCGCGCCACUGCUCGUCGUCCUCCCGCCACUGUUCGGUCAUCCUCGCUCACUGUCCGUGGGAGCAGGGCCGGCGACUUCCUCGGCCUCAUCUCCUCUCCAAGCCAGCCGGUCUCCGCAUCCCCCUCUUGCUUCUUCUUCCUCCGGACGGGACAAGCAAAAACAGAGCCGAGCCGAACCGCAGUCACCCGCCGGCCAAAUACUCUGCAUCCACCCCAGCAAUUCCAAAUCGCCACCACGCACACCUCCUCCACCUUCCCAGCUACCACCCAGAGCCACCCAAAGCGUAGGCCGUGCGCUAACUCGCCGGAAUCGGGCGCAUUCCCGGCUGCCAUUGUCGUCAGCCACCAAGCACCUCCGCCGACCAAAAUCCUCCAAGCUCCUCCCACCAUUUUCAAAUCAACAAAGAAAAGAGCCUCUCCAGCUAUUCUCCCCUUACUAAUCUGCUGCACGUCGACUUCUUUUCCCCCAAAUCCCAAGCACCAGAACUAGCACAAGCUGCAGCGGCUGGAGCUGCAAGGCAGCUUCCCCCAAGCCGCACUGCCCGAAGCCGCUCGACGAAAUACACCAACGACGCCGAUGACCCAGAGCCGCGUGAUGCAGUCAACCUGCUGCUGGAUUCCGAUGCAUGCGAGCUCGUGGAUAUGAAGGAGACACGAAGCCUAGCAGGAGAAUC
Molecule: long non-coding RNA, 1046 nt
Organism: Setaria italica (foxtail millet)
Lineage: Eukaryota; Viridiplantae; Streptophyta; Magnoliopsida; Poales; Poaceae
Exons: 2
Source: RefSeq, a predicted model, not a curated record